This 251-nucleotide ribosomal RNA is filed under the name uncultured prokaryote. RNAcentral describes it as "partial 16S rRNA". It matches the Rfam family "Bacterial small subunit ribosomal RNA", at positions 525 to 775 of the family's 1533-position model. The record is from RNAcentral.
ACGGAGGGAGCUAGCGUUGUUCGGAAUUACUGGGCGUAAAGCGCGCGUAGGCGGCUAUUUAAGUCAGAGGUGAAAUCCCGGGGCUCAACCCCGGAACUGCCUUUGAAACUAGAUGGCUAGAAUCCUGGAGAGGCGAGUGGAAUUCCGAGUGUAGAGGUGAAAUUCGUAGAUAUUCGGAAGAACACCAGUGGCGAAGGCGACUCGCUGGACAGGUAUUGACGCUGAGGUGCGAAAGCGUGGGGAGCAAACAG